UCGCAUCUACCGAUUGGAUGGUCCGGUGAAGUUUUCUGACCGCUGCUGCCCGGUGGGCAACUACCAGGCGGCGGUGGGAAGUUACCUAAACCUUAUCAUUUAGAGGAAGGAG
RNAcentral lists this ribosomal RNA (112 nucleotides) under uncultured eukaryote. Its description in RNAcentral is "partial small subunit ribosomal RNA". It matches the Rfam family "Eukaryotic small subunit ribosomal RNA", at positions 1676 to 1785 of the family's 1831-position model. The record is from RNAcentral.